Molecule: ribosomal RNA, 484 nt
Filed under: uncultured bacterium
Lineage: Bacteria
Description: bacterial SSU rRNA
Rfam family: Bacterial small subunit ribosomal RNA
Source: RNAcentral
GAUGAACGCUAGCGGCAGGCCUAACACAUGCAAGUCGAGGGGUAGUUACUUUCGGGUAAUGAGACCGGCGCACGGGUGCGUAACGCGUAUGCAAUCUACCUUUUACAGGGGAAUAGCCCAGAGAAAUUUGGAUUAAUGCCCCAUAGUAUGUAUGAAUCGCAUGGUUUAUACAUUAAAGUUCCAACGGUAAAAGAUGAGCAUGCGUCCCAUUAGUUAGUUGGUAAGGUAACGGCUUACCAAGACGAUGAUGGGUAGGGGUCCUGAGAGGGAGAUCCCCCCACACUGGUACUGAGACACGGACCAGACUCCUACGGGAGGCAGCAGUGAGGAAUAUUGGACAAUGGGCGCAAGCCUGAUCCAGCCAUGCCGCGUGCAGGAAGAAGCAUCUAUGGUGUGUAAACUGCUUUUGUACGGGAAGAAACACUCCUUCGUGAAGGAGCUUGACGGUACCGUAAGAAUAAGAUCGGCGUAACUACCGUCGCCA